GAGUUUGAUCUUGACUCAGAACGAACGCUGGCGGCAUGCCUAACACAUGCAAGUCGAACGAGACCUUCGGGUCUAGUGGCGCACGGGUGCGUAACGCGUGGGAAUCUACCCUUGGGUUCGGAAUAACUCAGAGAAAUUUGAGCUAAUACCGGAUGAUGACGUAAGUCCAAAGAUUUAUCGCCCAAGGGAUGAGCCCGCGUAGGAUUAGCUAGUUGGUGAGGUAAAGGCUCACCAAGGCGACGAUCCUUAGCUGGUCUGAGAGGAUGAUCAGCCACACUGGGACUGAGACACGGCCCAGACUCCUACGGGAGGCAGCAGUGGGGAAUAUUGGACGAAUGGGCGAAAGCCUGAUCCAGCAAUGCCGCGUGAGUGAUGAAGGCCUUAGGGUUGUAAAGCUCUUUUACCCGGGAUGAUAAUGAUAGUACCGGGAGAAUAAG
Molecule: ribosomal RNA, 437 nt
Filed under: uncultured bacterium
Lineage: Bacteria
Description: bacterial SSU rRNA
Rfam family: Bacterial small subunit ribosomal RNA
Source: RNAcentral